UACGUAGGGUGCAAGCGUUGUCCGGAAUUAUUGGGCGUAAAGAGCUCGUAGGCGGUCUGUCGCGUCGGCUGUGAAAACCCGCGGCUCAACUGUGGGCGGGCAGCUGAUACGGGCAGGCUGGAGUUCGGUAGGGGAGACUGGAAUUCCUGGUGUAGCGGUGAAAUGCGCAGAUAUCAGGAGGAACACCGGUGGCGAAGGCGGGUCUCUGGGCCGAUACUGACGCUGAGGAGCGAAAGCGUGGGGAGCGAACAGG
RNAcentral lists this ribosomal RNA (253 nucleotides) under uncultured bacterium. RNAcentral's name for it is "partial 16S ribosomal RNA". It matches the Rfam family "Bacterial small subunit ribosomal RNA", at positions 524 to 776 of the family's 1533-position model. The record is from RNAcentral.